ACACGUCUACAUUAGAUACCCGCGUAGUCCCAGCCGUAAACUAUGCGCGUUAGGUGUAUCGGUGACCACGAGUCACCGAGGUGCCGAAGGGAAACCGUGAAACGCGCCGCCUGGGAAGUACGGUCGCAAGGCUGAAACUUAAAGGAAUUGGCGGGGAGCACCACAACGGGUGGAGCCUGCGGUUUAAUUGGACUCAACGCCGGGAAGCUCACCGGAUAAGACAGCGGAAUGAUUGCCGGGCUGAAGACUCUGCAUGACUAGCUG
This 264-nucleotide ribosomal RNA is filed under the name uncultured archaeon. Its description in RNAcentral is "partial 16S ribosomal RNA". It matches the Rfam family "Archaeal small subunit ribosomal RNA", at positions 719 to 982 of the family's 1478-position model. The record is from RNAcentral.